GCACAUACGAGUUGUGUUUAAAUAGAGCUUUGCUCGUGAACCAAAUCUGGUCGACUGGGCCAACUGAGCGGAAAUGCUUGGUUGGUUUGUUGACGAAUUGCAAUAAUCAUAUGGGCGGGGGUGAAUCCUUUGCAGACGACUUGAAUGGGAACGGGGUACUGUAAGCAGUAGAGUAGCCUUGUUGCUACGAUCUGCUGAGGUUAAGCCCUUGUUCUAUAGAUUUGUUCAACAACAGUUGAACUCUUCUCUUUUCUUUUACCACCUUCGGACUUCAGGGCAGGUCCAGUAGGACUUGUGCUCUGGUUCGGGGAUGUCACCGGGAAGAGCGUUGAAAAUGGUGAGUGUUGACCGGCUUUGUCUGGAUGAUGACUAUCAUUCUCUUCCCCGUCUUAUACGACCAUGCUGAGGGAUUAGAGAGACUUGUUUCGCAAACAAGCUCGCGCUUCAAUGCGCAAAAGGUACUUGCCAGUGCCACUUAGUCUGACUUCUAUUCAUCGAUGUCGCAUUGAAUGCCACUACAAGUUUGAUGCUGACCGGACUAUUACAGGACUUGAAGUGCACACUUUUCAACGCCAUCCAUUAUAGUGGUUUUGGAUAAUGUGAGUAGAGCGGUAUUCAACUUGUCUUCUUAUACGAUGAAAUAUCACCGUACAUUCGCAGUUUUCGCCAAAGUGCCCUCCCGUUAAGGGAGUACUCCUCCAAUACCGAACACUCAUAUUCCCCCUCUAAUGCCGUGUUGAACCCAAUCACACGACAGAGCGUGGGCCGCCCUUUGCGGUGCGCUGAGUGGGAGGUGGGGGUCGGCACAAUGAGGGUUUGAAUGACCUUCCUUUGGAUGUCUGAUCCUUUUUGAAUCACAACUAUUGAGCCAUUUACUGACCCUUUCUUUCUCAGUUUACCCGCUUUAUCAAGACUUUGUAGUGUACUGUAGCUCGCGUAUUAUAUAGUUAAGUACAGUAAAAGUACGUAGUUUAGGGCAGG
This 981-nucleotide unclassified non-coding RNA is filed under the name Ganoderma resinaceum. Lineage: Eukaryota; Fungi; Basidiomycota; Agaricomycetes; Polyporales; Polyporaceae. The record is from RNAcentral.